GUUAAGAGCCAUAAACAUGAUCUUACACUUAAUUGCAUCUCUAAAAUUUGGCCCAGUCAUAGAGAGCAAGAACUUAGUCAGUAAAUUAUGAGUGAAGUUACGUCUAACAGAAUAAAAAAGCGCAAGAGGGGCAGAUGUUGCUACAAAACUAACCACUAACAUCUUCUUAUGUAGUUUUUCUCAUUUCAAAACUAAACUAAACAUUUUCUAUCACAGACUUUGCAAGAUUUACA
This 233-nucleotide long non-coding RNA is filed under the name Trifolium pratense (red clover). Its description in RNAcentral is "long non-coding RNA (TPRA_LNC002617)". Lineage: Eukaryota; Viridiplantae; Streptophyta; Magnoliopsida; Fabales; Fabaceae. The record is from RNAcentral.